This 857-nucleotide long non-coding RNA is filed under the name Marmota monax (woodchuck). Lineage: Eukaryota; Metazoa; Chordata; Mammalia; Rodentia; Sciuridae. The record is from RNAcentral.
GAAAAUCUGAGUUGUGUAUGAGUGUGUGUGUGUGUGUGUAUGUGUGUGGUCACAUGUUAAUGACAGAGAUACAUUUUGAGAGCCACAUCAUUCAGUGACCUCAUCUUUCAGCAAACACCAUGGGGUAUACUUACCCAAGCCUAGAUAGUAUAGAACAAUCUCUAGACAUGGGCAUUUGUUGUUGUUGUUGUUGUUGUUGUUGUUCUAGGGAUUGAAUCCAAGGAUGCUUAACAACUGAGCCACAUCUCCAGCCCCUUUUUUAAAAUAUUUUAUUUAGAGACAGGGUCUCUCUGAGUUACUUAGGGCCUCGCUAAAUUGCUGAGGCUGGCUUUGAGCUCACAAUCCUUCUGCCUCAGCCUCCCAAGCCACUGGGAUUAUAGGUGAGCAUCACUGUGCCUGGCUAGACAUGGACCCUUGAUGGAGUCAAGAGACAGUGAACACAAGAAGUCUGAAGCUUCUACAGACAGAAGUUGGCAAAUGGCUUGACAAUGAACCUUUUUUAAUAAACAGAAGUAGUAUACUUUAAUAUAAUGAGAAAAUAAGUACAAGACAGUAAAUACAUAAACCAGUAACAUAGUCAUUUAAAAUCAUUACCAAAUAUUUUGCACCAUACGUAACCAUAUAUACCAUAUGGCUGGCAGCACAGGAGGUUCAUUUACACCACAAUACCACCAACAUGUGAAUAAUGUAUUGCAGCACAGUGUUAUGACAACUAUGAGGUUAUGGGGAAAUGAGAAUUUCUCGGCUCCUUUAUAAUCUUAUGAGACCAUCGUCAUACCCAUGGCCUACUUACUGUUGAGCAAAACAUCACUGCAGUGGCUCAGGUUGCUGAGGCAGGAAGAUCGCCAGUACAAAGC